AGCACUAUUGAAAAGGAUGGUAGUCGGCAUCUUCCUCACGUGUUAGUUUUUUCUAUUUUUUUUAUCACAUAACAAAUAAAAUAACCUACACAGUACACUUAUUUUUUAUUAUUAUUAACUACAUUCAUAUUGACCAGGCUACCCACGCCCCCGGGCAUAGUACCUCCACUCACCACCCUCCGCUCAAACGACAACUUACGCUCAGG
This 206-nucleotide long non-coding RNA is filed under the name Sorghum bicolor (sorghum). RNAcentral describes it as "long non-coding RNA (SBIC_LNC014744)". Lineage: Eukaryota; Viridiplantae; Streptophyta; Magnoliopsida; Poales; Poaceae. The record is from RNAcentral.